GACGAACGCUGGCGGCGUGCUUAACACAUGCAAGUGGUGCGACGAACCAGGGCUUGCCCUGGGGCCAAGCCGCGAACGGGUGAGUAACACGUGAGUAACCUGCCCCGAUGAUUGGGACAACCCGAGGAAACUCGGGCUAAUACCGAAUGUGGUGCACAAUCGUAAGUUUGUGUACUAAAGGAAGCUUCGGCCUCCGCAUUGGGAGGGGCUCGCGGCCCAUUAGCUUGUUGGUGGGGUAACGGCCUACCAAGGCUGCGAUGGGUAGCUGGUCUGAGAGGACGAUCAGCCACACUGGGACUGAGACACGGCCCAGACUCCUACGGGAGGCAGCAGUGGGGAAUCUUGCGCAAUGCGCGAAAGCGUGACGCAGCAACGCCGCGUGAGGGAAGACGGCCUUCGGGUUGUAAACCUCUUUCAGGAGGGACGAAGGUUCGGCGGUGAAUAGCCGUCCGGAUUGACGGUACCUCCAGAAGAAGCUCCGGCUAACUACGUGCCAGCCGCCGCAGUAACAC
Molecule: ribosomal RNA, 512 nt
Filed under: uncultured bacterium
Lineage: Bacteria
Description: bacterial SSU rRNA
Rfam family: Bacterial small subunit ribosomal RNA
Source: RNAcentral